RNAcentral lists this long non-coding RNA (611 nucleotides) under Salvia miltiorrhiza (redroot sage). RNAcentral's name for it is "long non-coding RNA (SMIL_LNC011843)". The record is from RNAcentral. Lineage: Eukaryota; Viridiplantae; Streptophyta; Magnoliopsida; Lamiales; Lamiaceae.
AAUUUUAUUAAAUCAUGUGCCCAAUUAAAGUGCCCCACUUUUGGCGGACGGAGGGAGUAUAUAUUAUGCCACAAUUCUUUCCCCAUUAAAUUUUGCUUUCAUUUUUUCCACCCUAUUUUUAUUUCUCAUUCCUCAUUUACGUUUUUCUCAAUUAUUAUCAAAAUCAGUCAAAAAAUCAAUUAAAUGUGAUGGAAAAGGUGGUUGAAGGAGAAUUGACAAUUAGUCCUAAAAUUACUUUUUUUAUCUGAUUGGAUUGUUUUUUUUUUUUUUUUGUAAGAUAGUAAAUGAGAAACAAAAUCCACAAAAAAUGGAUGGAUUCGUUUGUUUUGUUUUGUUUUAUCUGAUCUGCAUUCUCAUGGCAGUUGAAGCUUUUAUCUGAUCUGCAUUCUUAUGCCAGAACUGUAUUGUUUGGCUGUUGAAGCUUUUUUUUUUAUCUGCAUCCGCAUAAAAUGGAUGGAUUGUUUUGUUUUAUCUAAUCCGCAUUCUCAUGGCUGUUGAAGCUUUUUUUUUUCCCCUAGCUGUUGAAGCUAUUAUUUGUUAACUUUUCGAUUUGAGGCUACAGGGAUAAAACAAUAAUUAACAAUAAUUUUAAUAUGUUUUAAAUAAAAGGG